Molecule: ribosomal RNA, 442 nt
Filed under: uncultured bacterium
Lineage: Bacteria
Description: partial 16S ribosomal RNA
Rfam family: Bacterial small subunit ribosomal RNA
Source: RNAcentral
CCUACGGGCGGCAGCAGUGGGGAAUAUUGGGCAAUGGGCGCAAGCCUGACCCAGCAACGCCGCGUGAAGGAAGAAGGCUUUCGGGUUGUAAACUUCUUUUGACAGGGAAGAGUAGAAGACUGUACCUGUCGAAUAAGCCACGGCUCCCUACGUGCCAGCAGCCGCGGUAAUACGUCGGUGGCAAGCGUUGUCCGGAUUUACUGGGUGUAAAGGGCGUGUAGCCGGGUUGACAAGUGAGAUGUGAAGUCCUGCGGCUUAACCGCAGAACUGCAUUUGAAACUGUUGAUCUGUGUAACUGGAGAGGCAGAGGGAAUUCCUAGUGUAGCGGUGAAAUGCGUAGAUAUUAGGAGGAACACCAGUGGCGAAGGCGGUCUGCUGGACAGCAACUGACGGUGAGGCGCGAAAGCGUGGGGAGCAAACAGGAUUAGAUACCCGGGUAGUC